CUGCUCUGACAGUUGGUGCUUAAAGCUAGUGAGGGAGAUAAGUGUUUCCAGUUUCAGAGAUUUUUGUUGUUCGUUCCAGUCAUUGGCAGCAGAGAACUUUGUUACAUCAACACCAGUUCUGUUUCACAUUCUAACUGACAUUUUCCUCACAUUAUCAGUGUCUUGGUACACACAUUCAUUACUGUGACAUGGUACACACGUUCAUUACUGUGACAAAGUAACCUAUUUGUCUGUUGGUGUUUGUGCCUCAACCUCUUGUCAUUUCCUGCAAUAAAGUGGACUGUGGGCGGGAGGAGAUUUUCCCCUGUUUACCUAGCGUUGAGAGUUUAGCCUUAACUCUCCCAGCCUGAUGCUGUUGGUUAACCAGCGUUGAGAGUUUAGCCUUAACUCUCCCAGCCUGAUGCUGUUGGUUAACUAGCGUUAGGAGGGUUGUAAAGCAGACCGAUGGAAGCGUAGGACCUUGUGGCGGUUAUCAAACACUGGUUACAGCAGGAUGUUUAGAGCAGAGAGAAGUGUGUGUACACCAAACUGGAUAGGUGUGUGUGUUCCUCUUUCUCCACCUGCAGAUCAGGUUAGAUCUGUUUUGUGAAAUUCGGAUGCAAAUUCUCUGCUUCUAUUUGCCUAUGAUUUGUCCAUAUUUCUCUGCAAUGAAAAUCCUUCUGCAAGUGUGUGUCAGUCAGGUUCUGCAAUCAUGUCAGAGCUAACAGGCUACAGAGUGUCUGAUAAUAACAGCUAACCACUUCCUUCCUUCCCCACUUAAAAAGAGAGGUAGAAACUGUUCAUAGCUGCAGUAGUCUAGUGCACCAGUAGUGUAGUGCACCUGGCCUGACUGCAUCAACUUGUCCGUUGCAUCCCAAAUGGCACCCUGUUCCCUACAUUGGGCCCUGUAGGCCCGGGUCCAAGAUAGGGUGCCAUUUGGGAUGCUGUUCUCACUCGCCUCUAGGGCCCUCACUAGGACAGUCCAGCUGUCUCACUAUUGAACUGGACGUUUUUAGUGUUCAUUAGGGCACACCGUAGCAAAAUGUUUCGCAAUAGAAAAUGAACCUUUGUGUUGUUAUUGGAGACGUUCAGGUAGAAUCUCUCCAUUUUAAUUUGUUGUUGUUGUUGAACCACACCGAUGCAUCAGCAAGCUCUGCUGUGUUUAAACCAGACGCUAACUGUGUUGUGGUCUGUAACAUGUUGAUGAUGCUUUGUGUCUGGACAUACAGACAGAGAAUAUCUGUUAAAAUGACUAUUUAAUUACACAAAGUGUUAAUGAAAGACGUGUAUAAACAGGGGUGCAACUUUUACUGGGAACAGGGGGGGACAUGUCCCCCCCACAUUCUGAAAUUGUAUUUUUGUCCCCCCCGGUUUUAUCAUUGGAACGUGAUACUAAACGAGGCAACGGUGUGCUUUAGGACCAUGCGGAUGCCUCCGAGGUUGGGUAGGCUGUUUGGAGUGUUUAUCUGACUGGAUACAUUUUGUUUUUGAUAUUUCCUCCCCAACUUCUAAAACCAAAGAUUCGCCCCUGUGUAUAAAUAUGUGUGUCUGGCUUCAGAAAGAAAAGCAUUAUUGAAGAAGACUACUUCUUCACAGGUAUCUUAUCUGUACAGGGAUGCAUUAAGGUGGCUGACUGUUCCUUUUUUACCCUGUGUGAGAUUGGUCAUUUUUCUAGUGUGGGCAGCAGUGAGUGAAUAUGCCAGUGAACAGACCUUAUUCCAGGUAUCUUAAUAGUCUAUAUAUCUAUAUAGUUCUAUAUUAAUUCUCAGUCAUAACUCAGUCUACGUCCCAAAUCGCAACAUAUUUCCUAUACAGUGACCUACUUUUUACCAUAAUCCAUAGGGAAUAACCCGGGUCCAUUCAUCCCAAAUGGCACCCUAUUCCCUAUAUAGUGACCUACUUUUUACCAUAAUCCAUAGGGAAUAACCCGGGUCCAUUCAUCCCAAAUGGCACCCUAUUCCCUAUAUAGUGCACUAGGGACCAGAAGUAGUGUACUGUAAAGGGAAUAGGGUGCCAUUUUGGACGAAUCCUAAGACUGACCAAUGAGCAUCAGUAAUGUCAUCACAAAUAACUUUGGUUAUGGAGCUCAGAGUUAUGAGAGCCUGCCAGACUUCUGGCCCUUCCUCCUUGAUUGGUUAAUCAAUGUAGAUGUCCAGGUAAAUAUUCUGGCUCUUCCUCCUUGAUUGGUUAAUCAAUGUAGAUGUCCAGGUAAAUAUUCUGGCUCUUCCUCCUUGUUGAUUUAAUCAUUGUACUUUUUUCUAUCGGUUAUUAAAGGCUCCCUCUCUCUCUGAUUUCAGUCCAACCAGAAAUAAAUACUGUAAUUGUUUCAACAUUUUAUCUCCUAGAAAAGAAAAUGGUAAAAACAUAGAAUGUAUUUGUUACAGUAUAGUCAUAGUAGUCUGGUUGACGAGACUAUAGUCACAGUUCUCUCUCUCCUUUAGCACUAACAGUCACGUAUUCACAGUUCUCUCUCUCCUUUAGCACUAACAGUCACGUAUUCACAGUUCUCUCUCCUUUAGUACUAACAGUCACGUAUUCACAGUUCUCUCUCCCCUUUAGCACUAACAGUCACGUAUUCACAGUUACCCACGUUUAAAACCAUGAGGCUGCAAUGAAAGCAAAAUGGAGGAUUCUGUUGCUGUUUCCUACGUAUAUUCCUAUAUUUGUGUUGCAGCUGUAUAUUAUCUCUUGCUAUUCUUUGUCUUUGUAUGAAUAAUGUAUGUUUACACGCUCUCCUUACUCUCCCAAAUAACUGCUCUGUUUUGUAAUAAAAUACAAGCUGACCAUCCUUA
Molecule: long non-coding RNA, 2771 nt
Organism: Oncorhynchus kisutch (coho salmon)
Lineage: Eukaryota; Metazoa; Chordata; Actinopteri; Salmoniformes; Salmonidae
Exons: 2
Source: RefSeq, a predicted model, not a curated record